CCUACGGGGGGCAGCAGUGGGGAAUUUUGGACAAUGGGCGCAAGCCUGAUCCAGCUAUUCCGCGUGUGGGAUGACGGCCCUCGGGUUGUAAACCACUUUAGUAGAGAACGAAAAGGAGCUAUCGAAUAAAUAGCUCUGCUGACGGUACUCUAAGAAAAAGCAUCGGCUAACUCCGUGCCAGCAGCCGCGGUAAUACGGAGGAUGCGAGCGUUAUCCGGAUUUAUUGGGUUUAAAGGGUGCGUAGGCGGUCCGUUAAGUCAGCGGUAAAAUUGCGGGGCUCAACCCCGUCGAGCCGUUGAAACUGGCAGACUUGAGUUGGCGAGAAGUACGCGGAAUGCGCGGUGUAGCGGUGAAAUGCAUAGAUAUCGCGCAGAACUCCGAUUGCGAAGGCAGCGUACCGGCGCCAGACUGACGCUGAGGCACGAAAGCGUGGGGAUCGAACAGGAUUAGAUACCCUGGUAGUC
RNAcentral lists this ribosomal RNA (464 nucleotides) under uncultured bacterium. Its description in RNAcentral is "partial 16S ribosomal RNA". It matches the Rfam family "Bacterial small subunit ribosomal RNA", at positions 338 to 795 of the family's 1533-position model. The record is from RNAcentral.